GCUCAGUAACACGUAGUUAACAUUCCCUCGAGUCUGGGAUAUCUCGGGAAACUGAGGCUAACACCAGAUAGACAAGGGGUACUGGAAUGUCCCCUUAUCAAAAGUCCGCGCUCGAGGAUUGGACUGCGACGGAUUAGGUUGUUGCCAGGGUAACGUCCUGACAAGCCGAUAAUCUGUACGAGCCUUGAGAGAGGAAGCUCGGAGAUGGAUUCUGAGACAAGAAUCCAGGUCCUACGGGACGCAGCAGGCGCGAAACUUUCCCAAUGCACGAAAGUGUGAGGAAGGGAUUUGGAGUGCUCUCCCUACUUUAGGGGGAGCUUUUGUGGAGUGUUAAAAGCUUCAAGAAUAAGUGGUGGGUAAGACGGGUGCCAGCCGCCGCGGUAAUACCCGCGCCACGAGUGGUGACCACGAUUAUUGGGCUUAAAGCGUUCGUAGCCGGUUCAGAAAGUCCUUAGUGAAAUCCCAUAGCUAACUAUGGGGCUUGCUAGGGAAACUCUUGGACUAGGGACCGGGAGAGGUCUGGGGUAUUCCAGGGGUAGGGGUAAAAUCCUGUAAUCCUUGGGAGACCACCAGUGGCGAAGGCGCCAGACCAGAACGGAUCCGACGGUGAGGGACGAAAGCCAGGGGAGCAAAGGGGAUUAGAUACCCCCGUAGUCCUGGCUGUAAACGAUGCCCACUAGACAUUGGCAAUCUUAAGGGGGUUGCCAGUGCCGUAGCGAAAGCGUUAAGUGGGCCGCCUGGGGAGUACGGUCGCAAGGCUGAAACUUAAGGGAAUUGGCGGGGGAGCAC
This 789-nucleotide ribosomal RNA is filed under the name uncultured archaeon. RNAcentral's name for it is "bacterial SSU rRNA". It matches the Rfam family "Archaeal small subunit ribosomal RNA", at positions 88 to 879 of the family's 1478-position model. The record is from RNAcentral.